CAAAAUUAUGAAUUUCUUUCCAUUGUCAGUUUGGUUCCAAAUUAAAAACCCUAUAUAUUUCGCAAUCAUCUACAAUCUUGUAUAUUGCUAUCUUGAUUCCUCUAUAUUGUUUCAAUUAUGUAUUUUCUCCUUCAAUUGGGUGUUUAUUGUUAAGAGAUUUUGAUGAUGAGGAUGUCAGAUAGUCGAAGCCAUGGAAGAUGGACGGUCGGGAAAGAAAAACAAAAAGGAGCUUCGAAGAAAACCUUUAUGUUGGCAAGAUGGGGCUUUUUAUACCAACCAUUGAAUCUGUGGAAGAUUUUAGGAUUUCACCUGCUAGAGAUGGAUUCAUAAGGAGACGAAGGUGCCUACGAAGGUGAAAAGGAAGGCAUAUUAAUAUAGGGACGAUGAGGAGGAGGACCUACAAUUUGAGAACGAAGAAGGAUAUCGGGUUGACGUUGGUGUAUGAUGCUGUAGACUGUAGUUGUGAGUGGCUUCACUAUGGGAAACUGAUGACUAGAGUGGAAGGCUCUGGACUCCGUAGCUUUGGGUACACUAGGAGCACUUGCAUUAGCCACUGAACCUCCUACCAAUGAAUUGAUGGAACGACAACUGGACCGAAGUAAUGGAAAAAAAGAAAACAGUCGGUGAUGGGUCAAAAGAGGUAAAAUUUUGUUAUAUCGACGUUUCCGGAUGUUUAUAAGUACUUAGUGUAUUAAACAUAUCACAAACAUUUCCGGAGGUUUGUAAGCAUUUGGAUACGCUAUAGGUGAUUUUCAACACAUGACUUUUAACUGAUUUUAAUUUUUUUAAUCCAUUUGCUUUGUUGAAUAUAAAAUACAAACUCAAAAUCGACUACUUCUAUGUAUUUUUGUACUUUCGCGACUUUGGAUGAGAUUAAUCAUAUGACCUAUUUCGCAUUUCAGUUUAAGCUUUUGAAUUUUAGGUAAAUAGUUCGAAAAUGUCGCGUCACUAUUUUAUUAAGUAAGAUGGAUUUGGACAUCUGAAAGAGACUUUACUCCAACACCAAGACUAACUUCCAUGAGGUUGCGAUCAAAGCUAUAAUAUUUUUAAAUGUCAAAACGGCUGAGGAUGAAGGAACACAAAAUUCUCUUAAUUGUUUUGGGAAUUGGUUUAGUUUUCGAUUGAUUGGUGGCAGGCUGGAAUCAUCCUCUACUACAUGCUUACCGACGGAUUUUCUGAUCAAUUAGCAAAAUUAGUUUAGCCGAUGGUCUAAAUCUCAUCUACCAAUCAAGGCACUGGCAAACAGUUCACUGGAAUAUUCAACAGUUUAGAGCAUUGCAUUCAAUUGUUUAUUAAAGAUAUUCCAACAGUUUAGAGCAUUUACUAUGGUGUGAAUUUCUUUCGCAGGUGUGAGUAUUUUAUUUCGUGUAAUCAAUUCUUAUAGUCCAACAUAGAAGAGGGGGCAUGCAAUGCCUUGCUUCAAGAACUUCAUUUGCUCACUUUUAAGCUCAAUUCUUCAAACUUUACCUAUUUUGGUUAGUGAUUUGUGUUCUUGAAAUUACGUGCUUUGUUAUUGGGAUCUUUUUAAUGGACCCGUCAUAAAAAAAUUGAAGUAUUGACUUUCUAUACUUA
Long non-coding RNA from Helianthus annuus (common sunflower), 1572 nucleotides. RefSeq lists it as uncharacterized. Lineage: Eukaryota; Viridiplantae; Streptophyta; Magnoliopsida; Asterales; Asteraceae. The transcript is spliced from 6 exons. The record is from RefSeq and is a predicted model, not a curated record.